GCUGGAUGCUAGGUGUGGGGCCGAAUAGGCUCUGUGCCGCAGCUAACGCGAUAAGCAUCCCGCCUGGGGAGUACGGCCGCAAGGCUAAAACUCAAACGAAUUGACGGGGCCCCGCACAAGCAGCGGAGCGUGUGGUUUAAUUCGAUGUUACACGAAGAACCUUACCUGGGAUUGACAUGGAGGUGGUAGGGAGGCGAAAGCUGACCGACUCUUCGGAGAGCCUUCACAGGUGCUGCAUGGCUGUCGUCAG
This 250-nucleotide ribosomal RNA is filed under the name uncultured bacterium. RNAcentral's name for it is "partial 16S ribosomal RNA". It matches the Rfam family "Bacterial small subunit ribosomal RNA", at positions 808 to 1058 of the family's 1533-position model. The record is from RNAcentral.